This is a long non-coding RNA of Phoenix dactylifera (date palm), 1484 nucleotides long. RefSeq lists it as uncharacterized. The record is from RefSeq and is a predicted model, not a curated record. NCBI's taxonomy places the organism in Eukaryota, Viridiplantae, Streptophyta, Magnoliopsida, Arecales, Arecaceae.
ACAAUGCAAACAGGCGCAGUGUCGCUUUUCCUGGUCAUCCUUUGGGUUCUGGUCUGGCACAUGAAGUCUGAUUUCAAUGGCAAUGCUUUGAGAUCAUUAAUGCGGUGAACACACAUGUUACUGAAAAAUAGGCCAACUAUAUAAAUUGCUUAUUGGAGGGUGGCUGUAUGUCAAGUUGUAGUAUCCACACUGCAUCUCUUUUAAUCCUUUUAAAGAUCUUUUUUAAUUUAGGAGCUAGGCCUAUUAGCUGGAACACCCGUUGGAACUUCACUUAUUGAUGCCCAUGCUGCUGGUGUUGGAGUUAUGAAAAGUGUUGGGUUAAAAAUGGAUCACUCAAAGCACGUGAUCAAUUUGCCGGCACUUGAUGACGAAUGUGACGACAGCAAGCAUACUCUCAGAGCGCCCGACCUCAGAACACUCGGUCUCGGCACCAACGACCCCGGAGCUCAUAACCUCGAUUCCGGCUGAGUUAAGCUCGAUCGAUCUUAAAGCCAAGAAAGACCCAGUCAAAGGGAGAAGCGGACCUCCCCACUCCAUUGAAAAUCAAGUCCUCCUCCUCCAUAUCUGGGAUCAAAUCUCGCAAUCUCCGCCUCAACGGCUGUCAACAUUCAUAUCCGCAUGAUCUCAACGGAUCGCCAGCUAGCCCGAAAUCUCGAGCCGAUUACGGUAACUCAUUAACUUGCACGAUCACGUCCGAUCAUAGGUAACCGCUACACCCCCUCUUUUAAAAAGGGGGAGAGCUCUAAGCAAGGGACUUCUUCUUACCCUCGGGCCAAAAAAUAGAUUCAUACUUUGCUUAUCUCCAUUACUUCUCUCCACAAAAACCUCCUCUCUGACUUAAGCAUCGGAGAACCUGUGCCGGAACCUCCGGCUACAGAUUUCUUGCAGGUCCGCCGGAGAUAGCCGUCCGCCACCACACAACCAGCUGGAGCGCCUCCUCCUCGGUCCGCGGUCACCUCCGGGUCCAAUUUCCAGCAACAGAAAGCACGCCUAUAUUAGAGUCCAAAGCAGAUGUGUCGGCUGAGGAAGUCAUAUGUCAUCGCAUGGCUUUAGUAUGAGGAACAUCUACUUGCCCAAUGGUGCCUGAAUACUGGCUCACUGAAGGUGGUCAAAGUGCAACUGGUGUCCUUCUAGAUUACAUGGUUGAGAACCAUGUUGCUGCUCCUCUCCUUGCCAACCGUGCUGCUUCGCAAAGUAGGUUUCCUGGUUUGUAUCUGAAGAGAGAUGAUGAUACCAGAAAACUAAUGUUUCAAGGGGCGACUUGCAUGAUGAUACCAGAGGAACUUUGUUUAUUGCAUGACCGGUGCCUUGUGUCGGUCAAGCUUUCCAGUGGACAAUAUUAAUUAGAGAGCUGGCUGAGUUGCUGAUAAUUUUCCUCCCCAAAUCUCUUGGUAAAUCAAAUGUUGUUGUAUUAAUGGAUGGUAACUCUGUUUCACUUGCUGAAGAAAUACAAUGACCAUACCAUUUCUACUUUUUUUUUUUAA